This 538-nucleotide ribosomal RNA is filed under the name uncultured bacterium. Its description in RNAcentral is "bacterial SSU rRNA". It matches the Rfam family "Bacterial small subunit ribosomal RNA", at positions 355 to 896 of the family's 1533-position model. The record is from RNAcentral.
UGGGGGAUAUUGCACAAUGGAGGAAACUCUGAUGCAGCGACGCCGCGUGAGUGAAGAAGUAUUUCGGUAUGUAAAGCUCUAUCAGCAGGGAAGAAAGGCUCGCAAGAGAGAUGACGGUACCUGAGUAAGAAGCUCCGGCUAAAUACGUGCCAGCAGCCGCGGUAAUACGUAUGGAGCAAGCGUUAUCCGGAUUUACUGGGUGUAAAGGGAGCGCAGACGGAUAUGCAAGUCUGAAGUGAAACCCCACGGCUCAACCGUGGGCUUGCUUUGGAAACUGUAGAUCUAGAGUACUGGAGAGGUAAGCGGAAUUCCUGGUGUAGCGGUGAAAUGCGUAGAUAUCAGGAAGAACAUCGGCGGCGAAGGCGGCUUACUGGACAGCAACUGACGUUGAGGCUCGAAGGCGUGGGGAGCAAACAGGAUUAGAUACCCUGGUAGUCCACGCGGUAAACGAUGAAUACUAGGUGUUGGGAGACAAGGUUUUUCAGUGCCGAAGCAAACGUGAUAAGUAUUCCACCUGGGGAGUACGGCCGCAAGGUUA